This is a long non-coding RNA of Trifolium pratense (red clover), 1147 nucleotides long. RefSeq lists it as uncharacterized. NCBI's taxonomy places the organism in Eukaryota, Viridiplantae, Streptophyta, Magnoliopsida, Fabales, Fabaceae. The transcript has 5 exons. The record is from RefSeq and is a predicted model, not a curated record.
AAGAAAAUUGUCACUUUGCGACACUUGCAUUACGACCAUUUGGCUGGAACCGUUGCAAUGUGCUGAAUUUUGAAAUUUUGCAACAGUACAUGCGACGGUUUUGUCAACCGUUGUAAUGUUUUGGCUUAAUUUGGGAAUUCUGCGACAGUUAAGUUAACCGUUGCAAUGUUUUGGCUUUUGCAAAAAAAGAAGAAAAAAAAUCACUACCUAACACGAUUUAUCAAAACUAACUCACACUAUCACAAAUCCCUAAAUCCCUAAAACAUGAUCUCCAGUGUCUUCAAUCGUUCUCUUCACCGUAAAUCCCUAAAUCACUCUCGGCGAUCUCGUUCUCUCCAACCUCUCCAUCGAUGUCUCCAAAGAGAAACCAUUCUCUUUAACUUCAUUAUCGUUCCAAUUCCAGAAAUUGUUGCCGUGGAGAAAUCGUUGCCGUCCUGAUACACGUUCAGAGAAAGUUAGGACUGGAGGGUUCAGCAAGGGUGCAUCUAUAACAUAACAUUAUACUCUGCAGCUUGUUAUCACAUGGGAAGAUUAUAUAGCUCAUUAUUUAUCAAUAUUUUCAGAAGAAGCCUAUUGAGGUUCUAGGAGUUAUUGAGAUUCAUGUGUUUGAGAGUAACAACCGCUUGUUAGGAGGUGGUCAAAAAUCUUCGGUUGUCAUCCUCUCUAAAAGAUUUAUUCUCUUCCUUCAAGUUCAAUGGAAUGUUAAAAUGCAAGUCUGAUAGGUUGUUCUCAGAAGAAGUUUAGAGGCUAAAAAAUAUGCAUACUGGAGUUAUGAACUUGGAUGGUUCUUUGUAAAAUCCUAUUGAUUUUUUCAAGUAUGUCCUUUACUUUCCAAGCAUGGUUCGAGCAUAGAGGUAACCGAAUAAGAAGAGUCAAGUGAUGGUAGGCGUUUCUAAGUCUAGUGCACACUAAUUAAGGAUUAUGAAGCAACAUCACAUACUAGGGAUAUUUAGAUAUUUUUUGAACUUAUUUUGACGUGUUGUUAUGUUUAACCACUCUACUAAUAUUUAUGUUUUGAACUACAUUAGUUUCUUUCGUUUGGAACUUCAAGUACUUGAAUUAAAUUUUGAUGUAUGGAUCUUGUCACUAUUGAAUGAAUUAUAUAAAUGAGAUUAAGUUAUUUAUAUUUAUAUAUUUGUGCAUUUUA